This 200-nucleotide non-coding RNA is filed under the name Lapidilactobacillus concavus. Its description in RNAcentral is "Lactobacillus concavus T-box sequence". It matches the Rfam family "T-box leader". Rfam says of the family: Uncharged tRNA acts as the effector for transcription antitermination of genes in the T-box leader family. T-boxes are found upstream of many aminoacyl-tRNA synthetase genes and some amino acid biosynthetic genes usually in Gram-positive bacteria. The record is from RNAcentral. Lineage: Bacteria; Bacillati; Bacillota; Bacilli; Lactobacillales; Lactobacillaceae.
AGAUGGUCUAGGAAAGAGUAAGACGUGUGUUUAUUUCAGAGAGUAGUGGGUUGCUGCAACACUAUAUCAACACAUGUCCGAAUGGAUCCUAAGGGAGUCACAGGCGCAAGUCGUGACGGUAGAUGAUGCCUUAAAUCAGUCGAGUUGGCGUGUUAUUGAACGCAACUUAGGUGGUACCGCGGAAAAAUUUCGUCCUAUUG